GGCGGAGCCGCCUUAAAAUGGCGGGCAUGUUUUCCUGAGGGGAGAAAUUCCCUGAGCGGAUGAGGCCGUUUGCGUCCAUUCGCUUUUCCACCCUCACGGUUACAGCCUUGGGCAGUUUAGUAAACCCCAUCGUCAGAAUAGAAUAAUAAUAAUAAUAAUAAUAAUAAUAAUAAUAAUAAUAAUAAUAUAUUUAUACCCCAGCCACUCUGGGCUGCUCCCAGUAGAAGAAUUAAAAAAUGUGAUAAAAUAUCAAACUUUAAAAACUUCCCUAAACAGGGCUGCCUGUUAAUGGGCAUGGUUAAUUUCGCCUCAUUCCUCCUCAUGGUGAGAAUAAUUAAGUUACAUCACAUUACAUUUCUACCGAGCCUUUUCUGUAAGGGACUGAAAGGGACCUACUCAGUUCUCCUCCCGCCACUUAAAUUUCAACAACAACCCUGUGCGGCGGGUUAGGCUGAGAGACUGUGGCUGGUAUUUUGCCAGCCUUGCAUUUCCCUGCAAAAAUCAAGGCCUCCGAGGUGGCAGGCAAUGAUAAUAAAGCAAGCUAUUGAGAGAAAAAAAGAGGUGGUGGGGAAAACGGAACUAAAAAUUAACGUAUAAAUCAAGACAGUCAUUCAUAAAUUUAUAAAUCCAAGGCAGUGCACAAAACCAAAGCGACUAUAAGCCAGAGGCAGCAGUUCUGGUCUAUUUAAAUAAAGAAGGAAUCCAUUAACAGGCAAUCUCUUUAUUAGGAGCAUCUGAAAAUAAGUUUUCCAAGUUCAUUGGAUCCUGUUAGGCAAACAGAGUUCAAAAGGGAAUGAAUUGAAGACUGUGAUUUGGUCCCCUGGCAGAGAUGGUUUUAGGAGUGAUCUUGUCCCAACCCAUCAGGAUUAACUUGAGAACUGGAUCUGUUGUUGAAAAAUGGAAGCAGGAGACUGAUAUUGCAGCUAGCUGUCCGGCUCAGAGGAGACUGGAAUAGACAAAACGCUGUCAUUUUUUACUUGAUUAGUAUCUUGAUUUGGGUGGCAUGCCAGAGCCGUUAUCAAUUAUUAAAUAAAGAAGAGAAAUAAAUUGACAGAGAUAUACACAACACCGCUUUCCCAUAUAAAUACAGCUGUAAUGUAUCAUCUUUUGACAUUUUAAUGACAACUCUGUUGCACUUUAUGUCAUCUACGUAUUACAGAAGUUCCCCUCCCAACCUCUCUCCAUCAGGCAAGACUAAUGCCUUUCAUCACAUACGGAAAAUUAAAAUAACCAAAUGCAGCUAGUCUCCAGAAACAUGUUGCCAACAGCAAAAGGAACUGCUCUGAGAGGCAUAAAAACAUAGUUUAUGCUGACAAACCUCUAAGCAUGCCGGUGAAAACUAUGAUGCAGUCACCCAUCACGAGGAUGAAGCUUACAGAAGCAAGUUGAUAGAUUUAUUUGCUGAUCACUCAAGAAAAGGAAGGAAUGAACUGUGUCAUCCUGCUUGCAUUUUUACAGAAGGCGUUUGCUCAUGCAGAAAGAUGAUCGGCAUUACACCAAGGUGCUCUGAGCUUUUUUGUUUUGGUUUUUUUGCAGACUCCUGGUUGAACUGGCAAAGGCACAUGAAGGUCAAAUGACUUGCCAGAGGUUAUCCAUUGAUCUGAGUGUUUUUGGCAGGAUGGCAGCCAAAUCUUCAUGCUCAUCCUGGUGCAUUGCCCAUCAGCUGUCAGUGCAGGAUUCUGUUGUCUUCAGUCUGUAUUUCAUUUGUAAAACAAAAUGGGCUUCACACCAUUUGGUAAUAAUUUAAUAGACUGCACAUUAAAAAUCCAGAGGGCAUGUGUAUGAUUGCUUUACAGCACAUCAGCAAAAUGCCACUAUCAUGCACAGGAAAUGCAGUGUUUGGAGUAAAGCUGAGAUUCAACACAUUCAUUCAAGCAUCAAUCUCAAGCAGAGGCAAGGCAGAACAAGCAGAGGCAAGGCAGUACCCUGGACAGCUCCACGCAGGGCUCAAGCACUGCUCAGAUGUUGCUUCAGCACCAGUUAUUUAGAUUGCAGCUCCCUCUCAGUAGCUAGCUCUGCCUUUACUUCAAGGGGCCUAGAUUUCUCUGGCAACCUUUGAAUCUGACAAGGAUUUUCUUGUGGUCUUUACUUUUGUGAGUCAGCUUUUAUUAUUGUUCAGCACUGAUGUCGAGCAAUGCAAAUGCAAAACAGGAAGAGCUUUGCGGUAAAGAUAUUGCUGUUUUCUCAAAGUACAAAGGUGUCUGUCGGCCUGCAGCCCUGAUGUUUUCUCCUCCCGACCUGCCUCAAUAAUGCAAACUAGCAGCAGUGGAAUUUAUUCUCCUGAGACCGUAAUCUUCAUUUACCUGCUACCAAGAGGAAAAGCACCACACUGGAAUCCAUUGCACUUCAUAAUGAAGACAGAUGGUUUACCUGGCAGCUCCCCUUCGCGCCUUCUGUCUCAGGGCAAGCAGAUUGAAAGGGAGGAGGGGCAGAACCAGGGGGUCACAUGGAACCCACAGUCGGACCGAAGAUCCACAGAGGAUGGCGCCCUGGAGGAGCAAAAAGAAAAUAAAGAGAAGAAAAAAGAACUUACCAAAAAUAAAGGUAACCAUGAACCAUUGUUCUGACACAGGCAGCCUCAGACUAUUCUCACAUGCUUCUUCUUUUCAAGCAACCUGUCUGCUUUCAAGAGCAGGCAAUCUGCUCUUCUCUCUGUGUGUAGGAGGAGGAAGCAUGCUUCGAAACCGUCUAAAUGCAGCUGCUUAUAUAAAACUCAAAACAUGUAGUUUAAAGACUUUGACAAAAGUGACGUAAGUGGAGCAGCAGCUGUUCCCUGAGAGAGGGGGAAGUGAACCCCAAAAUGUCCCAGUUGACCAACUGCCAGGGGACCCUUGUUCCUUUAGCUGCCACAAAAAAUGUGAAAUUCUCCUGCCUUUUCCUCCAUUUCCCACUUCGUUUGCAUUUGCUGGGCCCUGGGGUCAUAUGGAAACCUACGCCUGGAAGGUGGAGCUGGAGACAGAUGCAGAGCAAAGUUUCAAGAAGGUGGAGACCCUCUGAAGCAGAAUCAGUUCUGCUCAGUUGAUUAGGCAUUAGCAUCUGGCCUGGCCCAUCCUCCAAUUGCACCCCACUGAAUUCCCUCUGUGCCUGAAGAGGACCCUGAAGCCUGACCAGUUCUGCAAGUUUCCAAGCUCCAGGAAUGAAACUUCAUGCUAGACAGUGAGUAAAACGACUGUUAUUUUCAGGGCAUGACUUGAACAUCUUCAACUGUCAUGGCUUUGCUCAGGGAGUCUGUCAGAGUCUUAAUCUGAGACAGGCUGUUUUUUUUGGGGGGGGCGGUGUUGGCUGAAACACUGAGGUCAGACUCAAAAGGCUAAAAGGUUUCUCAAGAAGUCAAAGUGGAAACACACAGAUAUCCCUCCUCACAAAAAGCAUAAAGUGCACCUCCAGAAAGAAAGAGUCACACCUCUGUCCUGCGCAUGGGCCUCCACCAUAGGCAUCAAGUUGGUCACUGUGCGAAGAGGGUGCUGGACUAGAUAGGUAUUUAGCAGAACUCUUCUUAGAACACCUUUGCAUAAGAUUUGCUUACAGUAUGCUGAUUUAUAAGAGUAGAUAGGGAACAAGACUGUGACCAUGUCUCAGCUAGAUUGGUAAAGAAAAAGGGUUUUAUAUGUGUUGUAUGUGCGAUAUAACACUUUUGACACCAGAUGGCGCUGUGGAGCCCCGUCUUUCCCUACUGGAUUUCCCUAUAUGAGUUCGCAACGUGUAACUGAAUCACUCCUUUGACGUGUCUAGAUCCAGCCCUGGUGGUCUGUGUGCCUGCUUAGUCUGAUGUCAGGUGCUAAUUAAAUGGGAAACUCCUGCUCUCCCUUCUUAGGGCUUUUUAAAAUCUUUAAACUGGGCAGCCUUCAAAUUUCUUUUUCUUCAAAAUAGUAUUACGUAGUAGGACCAGGAGGCGGGGGGCAGCUGCUACCUUUCUGCAUAUCACUGAAUCUGUUAUUCAGGUUGAGAACUUCCAAGAUGCUGAAGCAGGUGUAUUCCUAAUCCUUUGCUCUGGAUAACAACCUUCCCAUGGGGACUUUCUUCAAGGGCACCUCUCUCUUAGACCUCAGCAGCUGGCCUGCUUUGAUUCUCCUCUAUACUUUCAACAAUCACUCUUCACAGCCACCGUUCUCUGUUACCUGUUCGGAGUGCUUCAGAGGGAAGAAGGUCUCACUUAUGCUCACACUCAACAAGAGAGCAUGAACAGGAAGGUAGCCUGAGAACAUAAGAUGAGCCUGCUGGAUCAGGCCAAUGGCCCAUCUAGUCCAGCAUCCUGUUUUCACAGUGGCCAACCAGAUGCCUGUGGGAAUUACUAAUAGCUUCCUCUUACAUUUCCCCCGUGGUGGCUUGUACCUGCGCAACUGGCAGGGUGGAAAGCGGAGACGGGUGGGUAGUCAAAGCCAGAGCCAGUAAUGGGCGGAGCCACCGCCUGGCUGCUUGUAAGGAGGCAGGCAGGUGGGGACUAACUGGGAGCUUUUUGAGAUGGGUGGGGCAAUGCCCAGUUCACCCUAAUGAACAAGUCUCCACUGCCGUUUCCUAUGCUCAUUCAUGUGCUUAAUCUCCACCACACAUGGUCCUGACUCUGCACCUUUGGUCUGAAAUGUACAGAUGAAGACCUUGUUUUUUUGCUUGAGCAAAAAAACUCUGCGUAAAAUCAGCCACAGUGUGUUUGAAAGGGGGACUGCGUUUUAUUUUGUUUCCUUUGGUCUCAGCGCCUAAAUCUAAUAUAUGUUAUUUGAUUUGGAUCCUUUGGAUUAGUAAAAGGGGAUUGGCUAUAAAGGAGGCCAGCAUCAUUAUUCAGUGUUAUUAAUGAUGUUGUCAACCCUUAGAUUUCCCCAAACUAGAAAACUCAUAAAUUUUACUUAUGGGGGAGUGGGUGGAAUCUCAGAAUGAUCUAACAAAUAUAUAAAUUCUUUAAAGUAUUUAAUAUGUGUUAAGAGGACAGCAUGAUAAAUUCAAUAUUGAAAACCAAUAUCAGGUUUACAAUUAUUUGCCAUUUAUCAUCCCUGAUUGCACAGACAGUAUCUUAUUGAAAAGAAUAAAGUGAUUCAUAAAGAGAGUUCUAUUACAGAAGAAAGGAACCAAAAAGAGAGAGGGGAGGAACAGUCAAAAAUAUCUUGUUUUCCUCUCCUACCAUUAUUGUCAGCUGCUAUUUGCUCUUUUGAGAAAGGAACCGUGUGAGCUUAAUCGCCUGCACUUUGAUAUUAGAGAUACGAUAAAUUUAUAAAGGGAGGAACCAUCUCAUUUUCUGAACAGCAUUCUGACAGCACAUUUUUCUUUAAAUAUCUGAUUUUCUACUUACAGAGGAAAACAGACAACUCUGUGCCAUCUUUGUCUUUACAAGCUUGAGUUCUUUGAAGUUUAGUACAUUUGUGGGGGGCCUUGUUUCCCUUCCCAUGAGUUUGUCAUUCUGUUACUGGUGGAAUAUGUGGAAGAAACCAAACUCCAGCAGUUAAAUUGCACAUGAUAAGACAGGAGAGGGUACCAUUGGGGGAGGGCAGGGCACCCCAUCCUUGUGUUUCAGAGACCACAUCUGGUAAUUUCUGGAGUACAGCUAUUGCCUACUGUCUCACUGGUCUACACUUUGGAUGAAUGCUAACAAUGGCAUUGGCCUAUGCACCAGGCAUGUAUGCCAAAGGUGUAAACCCCUUCCCUUCAUAUAUUAAGAUUUGCAGAGGGGGCUUUGUGUAUGUAAUGGUGCCCAGGAGAGGACUUUCUCUGUGGCACCCCUUAAACUGUCAAACUUCCUCCUCACAGUGCUGUGUCUAGCAGCUUUCAACACGUUGUUUGCUAUGUGUUGGGGUGCCAGAGUUUUGUGGGUGCAAGGCACCCAUAAUCCUUAGAAUUCAUAAAAGUCAGAAUUAAUCAAGGUUUGAUUAAACGGUGCCAAGCACAGAAAUUCCUGGGUUUAGCUUCUGCUAACGAGCCAGACUAGCCUGGCAGGAAUAGCUGAGUGCAAGCCAUUCAGAGACAAAGACCAGUGAUGCCCAUCAAGGAAACCCCCAAGAGUGAGUGAAGACUGCCAGACCAGGAGGGGAGGGGCCCCUCUUCCAGCUGUGUGUUGCUUGGUAUUUCAGACAAACAGGAAAAAGUGUCAGUUUUGCAAGUGGUUUGGCAAGCAGAGAAGUGGAGGGCAGAACAUGAUGUAGGCUGGUUGUGACUGGCUGGAACAAAAGAGCCACAGAGCAUGGCUUUUUGCUGUUCUUUGAAUCCAGUGCUAUGCUUACAGAGGAGGGCAAACCCCUUUGAAAUGCGUAUGUUCUGAACUCUCCCCAUCUAGGUUCAGGUUAUCUAUCUGUGUAAAUAAACCAUGUAUCCUAAAGAUACCAGUGUUUUUGCUGUGCCUUAUUCCCAAAAGGAAACACAGGCCCUGGGUAAGCACCCUGAACCCCUGAAGUCUCUUGCACCACCCUUUGGAGAUUGGGGUGGCGUAUAACAAUAUGCUGAACAGAGAAAGGGGCACAACAUGGCUCCUUCUAUUGGCUAGAGAAGGAGCAGCUGCAAAGAGCUUAAUUCUUCCUAUCCCACCUGCCUGCCUGACCACUCAAUUACCUCUGGCUGUUGCCCUGGGACUGCAGAAACAAUACACAAAUAAAUAAUGCACCCUGCCAUAGUCCCUAUUCAAAGGUAGUGGGCUGUUAGGAAGGUCCCCCUGUGAGAGCAGGACUCAGUUCUGUAUUCCAGGUGAGAGCAGGCUACAAUUUGGGGCAUGAUUUAUUGGUCCUGAAAGAAGUGAUUCUGCGCAGGUGAGAUCUGGGCUCACAAGCAGGAUGUGUUUGGGGACAGUGAAUAAUUGCGUGUAAUUUUUUUUGCUGCAGUUAAUAUGUUUUGCUCUUUGGCAGUUUAAAUUAGGGUUAUCAGCUCUAACACUCCUGGUACUGCAGGCCUUUAAAUAGGAAAUUGAUUUGAAACCUUUUGAAACCUUUUCUGUCUUAAUUCUGCUAUUAGCAAGCGUUCUAUCAUUUGUUGGUUAGUGCAUGUCUCUAUGGCAGUGUGGAUGGGCGCCCCAGUUGUCAGCGUAAGUGGCAGGGUAUGUUACAGUGAUGGGAGGAUGAUGUUCUGAAUAGAUACUUAAGAACUGUCCCGUCUCUCAUCUAAGGGAACCUCAGUUGACCUGUCAAUGGACCACUGAAAUUGCUGGUGCUAAAUGCCAGGUCAGUGAAAGGGAAAUGUAGCUUCCAGGACAUGUUCCUAAUCAGGGGACCAACCUGUUCUACAUAAUUAAGAUAUGGUACAGUGAGACUGGCAGGUAGGCUCGUCCCCUGACAUUUUGCUGACUGAGGUGAACGACAGGAUGGCAUCCACUUCCACA
Molecule: non-coding RNA, 7291 nt
Organism: Podarcis muralis (Common wall lizard)
Lineage: Eukaryota; Metazoa; Chordata; Lepidosauria; Squamata; Lacertidae
Source: RefSeq, a predicted model, not a curated record